AUUGAACGCUGGCGGCAGGCCUAACACAUGCAAGUCGAACGGUAACAGGAAGACGCUUGCUUCUUUGCUGACGAGUGGCGGACGGGUGAGUAAUGUCUGGGAAACUGCCUGAUGGAGGGGGAUAACUACUGGAAACGGUAGCUAAUACCGCAUAAUGUCGCAAGACCAAAGAGGGGGACCUUCGGGCCUCUUGCCAUCGGAUGUGCCCAGAUGGGAUUAGCUAGUAGGUGGGGUAACGGCUCACCUAGGCGACGAUCCCUAGCUGGUCUGAGAGGAUGACCAGCCACACUGGAACUGAGACACGGUCCAGACUCCUACGGGAGGCAGCAGUGGGGAAUAUUGCACAAUGGGCGCAAGCCUGAUGCAGCUAUGCCGCGUGUAUGAAGAAGGCCUUCGGGUUGUAAAGUACUUUCAGCGGGGAGGAAGGGAGUAAAGUUAAUACCUUGGCUCAUUGACGUUACCCGCAGAAGAAGCACCGGCUAACUCCGUG
RNAcentral lists this ribosomal RNA (490 nucleotides) under uncultured bacterium. Its description in RNAcentral is "partial 16S ribosomal RNA". It matches the Rfam family "Bacterial small subunit ribosomal RNA", at positions 30 to 507 of the family's 1533-position model. The record is from RNAcentral.